AUAACUUCUCUAGUCCAUUGAUCUUGUAGAAAACAAUGUUUGGGGAAAAAGGUUACAACAAUGUUAGAUGUGGCAGCAUGUUUACUCACAGAUAGCAAAUUGUAUUUAAAUGUAGGAAUGUAUAACACAUCCAGCAAAUGAAGUUUGGGGUGUAAACUGAUAUUACCUACUUUCUGAAUAUAUUGUUUGGUUCCGUCUGGCA
This 202-nucleotide unclassified non-coding RNA is filed under the name Hevea brasiliensis (rubber tree). The record is from RNAcentral. Lineage: Eukaryota; Viridiplantae; Streptophyta; Magnoliopsida; Malpighiales; Euphorbiaceae.